GAUGAACGCUAGCGGAGGCUUAACACAUGCAAGUCGAGGGGCAUCGCGGUGCAGCAAUGCACUGGCGGCGACCGGCGUACGGGUGCGUAACGCGUAUGCAACCUGCCCCGCACCGGGGGAUAGCCCGCGAAAGGCGGAUUAAUACCCCAUGGCCCCGGGGGCCCGCAUGGGCAUCCGGGUAAAGCCUUGGCGGUGCGGGAUGGGCAUGCGUGCCAUUAGCUGGCUGGUGGGGUAACGGCCCACCAGGGCAACGAUGGCUAGGGGGUCUGAGAGGAUGGUCCCCCACACUGGUACUGAGACACGGACCAGACUCCUACGGGAGGCAGCAGUGAGGAAUAUUGGUCAAUGGGCGGAAGCCUGAACCAGCCAUGCCGCGUGCGGGAUGAAGGCCCUACGGGUUGUAAACCGCUUUUCCCCGGGAAGAAUAAGCCCCCCGCGGGGGGUGAUGCCGGUACCGGGGGAAUAAGGAUCGGCUAACUCCGUG
This 484-nucleotide ribosomal RNA is filed under the name uncultured bacterium. RNAcentral describes it as "bacterial SSU rRNA". It matches the Rfam family "Bacterial small subunit ribosomal RNA", at positions 28 to 507 of the family's 1533-position model. The record is from RNAcentral.